AGAUCAUCAGAGUAGUUAGUGGCAGGCAAGUAGGCUCUGCUUCUUCAGGCGUUAUCUUGGGAGAUCCUACAGUAUGAUGUUUUCAGUUAUGACCGGGAACUGGGUGAACUUCUGAUAUGUCAGUGGCUGGGUGUAUGUGUGUGUCCUUACAGCAAACUACAUACAGCUCUCUGAAUUCGUGCGGUACUAAAGUUCAGAGGAUUAACCAUCUUCAGUACAGAGGAGACCAUAUCUGCUCAGCGAAAUCUAUGCAUGUUUCACUGAUAAAAGAGUACAUAAACAACAGAGCACACGGAAGGGGGAGGAUUUUAUUACUAUUACGCGGCGGCGGCUAGUAUGCUAAGCUAGACGGCGUUCGCCUCCCUCAGGCGAGGGGCGGCGACGAUGGCAGCUUCUCAGGGGCGCUGAGCCAGGCGCUCGUUGUGCCUGUCGCGCUCGCGCUGCCUGUCGUCCUUGCCCAUGAACAUGAAGUAGCCGACGGUGCCGACGGCGAGGAGGCCGCCGACGGCCAUCGUGGUGGGGCUGAAGCGGCGCAUGGGGCUGGACGGGCUCGUCGCCGACGACGAGGCGCGCUUCAGCGGGUCGUCGGCCAUGGACGCCCACGCCUUCAUCUCCGGCCACAUGGUGAACGGACGAUGCUCUCCUCUUCUCGCUGCCUAGUUGCGAGCUACGCCCAAGCUUUCUUGUUUACUGGUUUGCC
RNAcentral lists this long non-coding RNA (700 nucleotides) under Triticum aestivum (bread wheat). RNAcentral's name for it is "long non-coding RNA (TAES_LNC018515)". The record is from RNAcentral. Lineage: Eukaryota; Viridiplantae; Streptophyta; Magnoliopsida; Poales; Poaceae.